AGCAGCCGCGGUAAUUCCAGCUCCAAUAGCGUAUAUUAAAGUUGUUGCAGUUAAAAAGCUCGUAGUUGAAUUUCGAGACCGGCUUACUGGUCGUGCUAUUGUGCGUACUGGUAUAAUCGGUUUCUCCUUUCUGACGAACUAUAAUGCCAUUAAUUUGGUGUUAUAGGGAAUCAGGACUGUUACUUUGAAAAGAUUAGAGUGUUUAAAGCAGGUUCACUCUUGAAUACAUUAGCAUGGAAUAACGGAAUAGGACGUUUGAUUCUAUUUUGUUGGUUUCUAGGAUCGACGUAAUGAUUAAUAGGGAUAGUUGGGGGCAUUAGUAUUCAAUUGUCAGAGGUGAAAUUCUUGGAUUUAUUGAAGACUAACUACUGCGAAAGCAUUUGCCAAGGAUGUUUUCAUUAAUCAAGAACGAAAGUUAGGGGAUCGAAGACGAUCAGAUACCGUCGUAGUCUUAACCAUA
RNAcentral lists this ribosomal RNA (460 nucleotides) under uncultured Glomus. RNAcentral's name for it is "SSU rRNA". It matches the Rfam family "Eukaryotic small subunit ribosomal RNA", at positions 569 to 1034 of the family's 1831-position model. The record is from RNAcentral. Lineage: Eukaryota; Fungi; Glomeromycota; Glomeromycetes; Glomerales; Glomeraceae.